RNAcentral lists this ribosomal RNA (455 nucleotides) under Laccophilus complicatus. RNAcentral describes it as "partial 16S ribosomal RNA". It matches the Rfam family "Bacterial large subunit ribosomal RNA", at positions 1806 to 2534 of the family's 2925-position model. Lineage: Eukaryota; Metazoa; Arthropoda; Insecta; Coleoptera; Dytiscidae. The record is from RNAcentral.
AACAAAAACAUGUCCUUUAGAUAAUAAUUUAAGGUCUAACCUGCCCAAUGAUUAAUUAAAUGGCCGCAGUAUUUUGACUGUGCAAAGGUAGCAUAAUCAUUAGUUUUUUAAUUGAAAGCUUGUAUGAAUGGUUGAACGAGAAAAAAUCUGUCUUUAUUUAUAAAUUUGAAUUUAAUUUUUUAGUUAAAAAGCUAAAAUAAAAUUAAAAGACGAGAAGACCCUAUAGAUCUUUAUAAUAAUUUAAAUAAAUUUUAUUUAGAAUUUUAAAUUUAUUUAUUUAUUUUGUUAUUUUAUUGGGGUAAUAAAAAGAUUUAAUUAAUUCUUUUUUUAUUUUUAUAUAUAAUAAUAAUUUUAAGAUCCAUUAAUAGUGAAAAAUGAUUAAGUUACCUUAGGGAUAACAGCGUAAUUUUUUUAGAGAGUUCAUAUCGAUAAAAAAGUUUGCGACCUCGAUGUUG